ACCAUCUAAGAUAUUAUCGCAUGAAUGUUUGAGGCUGGGAUAAAUUAAUAGGCUAUACUGUAUGAGCUGAAGCAUCAAAUACAAGCAAAUCCCAACUAGAAAAUGAGAAAUAAACCCCCAAAAUUGGAGACAUUACAGUCCUUACAGUUCUGCUAUAGAAGUAGGCAGACAACAUUUGCAGGCAGGAGUCAACAGGCACUGCUUAUUCCAAAUUCUCUGUUAUUAGGCUUCAGGUAGGAGGUACUCUCUGAUUCUCUGAUUCCUUAGCCGCGGAAUUCAUCCAUGAACUUUUUUAUGGAAUUCUGCGAAGUGAUUCAUUUCCAUCAAAAUACAAAUAUCUUCCUGGAAUAGCUUUAUUCUCAGUUCAAUAAACUCUAAUCCCCAAUAAUUCACCUAAAACAAAUCCAAAAUGGUACCUCCUGCUUAAAUGGAAAACGUGAAUUCAACUUCAAAUUUAUUCAGCAGCAAAUUGGGUUAAAAAAAGGAUUCAGCCUAGUCGGUUUGGAAAAUUGAACUUCACAAACACAACGAAGUAAAUUGGGUUACCUUAAUAAGCUCCCUUAAACUGAUUCAAAAUUCAGAUUCCACUCUUAGUUGUUCAUUGAAACCCUCUUCUAUUGCUCUACAACAUGGUUUCGCAUUUGGGUUUUCCCUUACGUCACUUCUUUUUUUUUUUUUUUUUUCAAGUAAACAGAGAAAAAGAGAUAGAGACAGAUGACCACUA
This 724-nucleotide long non-coding RNA is filed under the name Solanum tuberosum (potato). RNAcentral describes it as "long non-coding RNA (STUB_LNC002192)". The record is from RNAcentral. Lineage: Eukaryota; Viridiplantae; Streptophyta; Magnoliopsida; Solanales; Solanaceae.